Molecule: long non-coding RNA, 1672 nt
Filed under: Theobroma cacao (cacao)
Lineage: Eukaryota; Viridiplantae; Streptophyta; Magnoliopsida; Malvales; Malvaceae
Description: long non-coding RNA (TCAC_LNC000400)
Source: RNAcentral
AGGCAACUAUACACAAUUAUAAAACUUCUCAACAUAAACUGUGCAAGUGCAUUCAUUCAUAAUAAACUCAGAGUUAACAACUCAUACAUCAUGCCAUAAUCAUUUCCCAACACCCUCGGGUGUACAUUCAUCCAUAACAUUCAUAAGUAUAUGCCAAGCAUUGGCUACAUCAUAUAAACAUGUUCAAUAUCUAUAAACAUAAACAUAUCCAUAAACAUAAAAACCAAUUCGUUAGCGGAACAUGACCUAACUCUCUAGACAUCAAAUGGACUGUUAGACACCUACCAUAAAAAGAUGAAUGGAUCACAUCUCCUAGACUUCAGAGUUGAAUGCUAUCACUUAUUUGCAAACAAAAAUAUUUGAGAAAAAUAACGUGUGAGUCAUAAAUACUCCAUGAGUGAAUACGAGAAUGGGACAAGCCAAGGCAAGGAUUUUUUGCACAAAUUACAUUACUAAUGUAAACAUGAAUUUUAGAUAAAUAUACUUCAUUUCAAAUAUCUCAUAAAAUAGAGUUGUUAUACACGAGUCUCAUUUUCAAAGUGGAAUUGACAUUUCAUAAACAUAUUGUUCGAUAGAUAAGCCUUGUAGGAAAAUAAGGAAGUUGUACUUUACUUGUGGUAUUGGAUCCUCCUUAAGGGAAACGAUACUUAACCAUAUAUUCCAAGCUAAAGGUGAUUUACUCCAAUCUUUUCAUAAAUCAUAUGAGCUGCUCAUGUACUAAAGAUUCACCAAGAGAAACCAAUCAUAACAUUUAGUGAUCAAUGUCGAACCCAUAUAACUAAAGUAAUCAUUUUUCAAUUCAUAUAACUCAGUGAUCAAAUCAAUCCAUGAAACUCAAGUGACCAUCCUUUCUUUAUAAUCUAUAAACUUAACUAAUGCCUUGGGAUUUAUUUUAUCUAUCAACCCAUCUUGGCUAUCGUAUAGCUUAGAGUUUAAUUUACAACUCAAUCAAACAUCAUAAACACAAGAAAGAUUCACAAGAGGCAUCAUAAUAACAAAAAUUAAUGUGCAAUAAUCAUGAAUUCAAGAUGCCUACUGGUUUGGGCAUCCUACGUCUAAGCUCAUGAGUGGUACAUUAGCCUCACUUAUGUGGAGCGUGUGACCAUGUAGUGGAAUUUUUGCCUCACCAUGCCUAGGGAUUGCUUAACUCAUAUCACUAUGCAUUGGCACUACUUGUGGAAUGUUACCUCACACUGUGUGGAAUCAUUAGAAAAUUAUCAAAGCAUUGCAGGUGGGAAUCAUAAGCAGGACUUUUAGACCAUCCCUAUUUACCACCAUCUCUACAAGCUCAACUCAAUGUCUUAAUCAUAAUAUAGAAUUUUGCAUAUUCAUACAUACAUCAUCAACAUAUCAAGCACAUCUUUUUCUAUAAACCAUAUUUAUGAACAAUCUUAUCUCUAAAGGUAUAUAGCACUACAUCACAUAUUAACCUAUAGAAUCAUGUCACACAUGUUCUAGUAUUCCUCAAAUGAAAACAUAUCAUAAGCUUAAGGGUGGGAAUGUCUACCUCCAACCAAGCAUUCAUUUCUUAUGCUUUUUUGUAGCAAUAAUGUAGGUAGUAAUUUUGUCAUGACCCGGUAAUUCCCUCUAGCCCGUGACAACGGCCGCGAUGUCUCGAUCGACACUUAUUACCCGGAAUGUCAACCGAAACCCCGCAAGGCUUUAAUAUCAG